This is a long non-coding RNA of Mesocricetus auratus (golden hamster), 1344 nucleotides long. RefSeq lists it as uncharacterized. The transcript has 3 exons. Lineage: Eukaryota; Metazoa; Chordata; Mammalia; Rodentia; Cricetidae. The record is from RefSeq and is a predicted model, not a curated record.
UCGAACUCACAGAGAUCCGCCUGCCUCUGCCUCCCGAGUGCUGGGAUUAAAGGUGUACACCACCAAUGCCCGACUAGGGUAGGUCCUUAAAGGUUGUGUGCUCCCCCAGCUCUGGUUCUCAUCUCUCUGCUUUUUGGUCUAUAAUCAUGAGAUGCUUUCAUAUGCUCCUGCUACCACAUAAUGAAGACCCACUGUCAUGCCUUCCCUGUCACAACUGGCUUAAAAUCCCUCUGAGCCAGGAGCCAGAAUAGAUCUUAUCUCUUUCAAGUUGUUCUUGUCAGAUAUGUGGUCACAGCAAUGCAAAAGUAACAUUACAGGAAUCUUCUGAGGACAAGCGACUGUAACAGGUUCCAGCCUUUACUGCGUGAAUCCUGCUACCCAGCAAGGGUUUCUCCCCACCCUGUGAACAAGGGAGUUUCUUACAGACCACGCGGAAUGACUCAUCAUUUCUGAGCUUUCAGACUAAGGCUGAAUCUAUUGCUCUGGGCUGGAGACAAGAAGGAAUGUUAUGACAGUGGACACUUGUGACAAAGAUGCUUAUCUCCUGACAGCAAAGAAAUGAGGAGGGAAGCAGGGACUUGGCAUAACCUUCAAAGACCCAUUCCCAGCCAUCAUCUUCUUCUAGAGACUGACGAGGAGGACUAUGACUUUGAGGUCACUCUGGACUACAUAGUGAGACCCUGACUCAAAAACAAGAAAAAGAUGAGUUGGACUCAAAACGGGUUGAAAACUUAAAUGUGAAAUCUGGAGCUUCCAGAAGGAAAAACAGGGGAAAUCCUUUACAGAAGGGACAAAGUUCUUGGAAGACUCCCCAAAACACCUGAAACAAGAACAGCACCAAUAAGACUAUGUUAACCUACAAACCUCUUUCUCAACAAAGUAGAUGGUGAUCCGAGUGAAGAGACAGUAGACGGAGAGGAAGACAUUGUCAAAGUACACAUGUGACAAGAGGUCAGCAUUCAGAAGGCACAAGGAACCCCAAAGACUCAGCAAAGUGAACUGAAUCACCCAGCAGAAAGGUGGGCAGUAGACCUACAUAGGCAUUAAUUACCCCAAGGAAGGCUACAAAUGACUAAUGGGCCAUUUAAAAAAAUAUUCAACUCACCAAACCUCAGGAAAAUGUAAAUCAAAGCCACAAGGAGAUAUGCCCUUCAAAUAAGAAUGACAAUCACAUCCCAAAGACCCAAGAUAGUGAUGGCAGGAGUGGAGAAAUGGGGAUGCGUGCACACUGUGCACACAGCAUGCUUGUGUGUGUGUGUGUGUCUAAGUUAGUACAGAGAUGGAAAUGUAUUUCAGACCCGAAAAAUAAGUGAUUAAGAAUAAAAUUUCUAUAUGAUCCAGAAA